Molecule: ribosomal RNA, 497 nt
Filed under: uncultured bacterium
Lineage: Bacteria
Description: partial 16S ribosomal RNA
Rfam family: Bacterial small subunit ribosomal RNA
Source: RNAcentral
GAUGAACGCUGGCGGCGUGCCUAAUACAUGCAAGUCGAGCGAACAGACGAGGAGCUUGCUCCUCUGACGUUAGCGGCGGACGGGUGAGUAACACGUGGAUAACCUACCUAUAAGACUGGGAUAACUUCGGGAAACCGGAGCUAAUACCGGAUAAUAUAUUGAACCGCAUGGUUCAAUAGUGAAAGACGGUUUUGCUGUCACUUAUAGAUGGAUCCGCGCCGCAUUAGCUAGUUGGUAAGGUAACGGCUUACCAAGGCAACGAUGCGUAGCCGACCUGAGAGGGUGAUCGGCCACACUGGAACUGAGACACGGUCCAGACUCCUACGGGAGGCAGCAGUAGGGAAUCUUCCGCAAUGGGCGAAAGCCUGACGGAGCAACGCCGCGUGAGUGAUGAAGGUCUUCGGAUCGUAAAACUCUGUUAUUAGGGAAGAGCAAAUGUGUAAGUAACUAUGCACGUCUUGACGAUACCUAAUCAGAAAGCCACGGCUAACUACGUG